Molecule: long non-coding RNA, 545 nt
Filed under: Olea europaea subsp. europaea
Lineage: Eukaryota; Viridiplantae; Streptophyta; Magnoliopsida; Lamiales; Oleaceae
Source: RNAcentral
UGGAUCAAAAUAUACCUAUAGGUGGCUGCACUUGUACAGAGUGGCAGAGAUGCAGGUUGGCGAUGACGGCAACGAAGUACGAUGGAAUUGCAGCGAGAGGAGAAAUGGUGACCGAACUCGACAAUGGCAGGCAGUGAAGAGACGGGCAAUAACGGUGAUGGUGUAGUGACGGCAAAACAGCGAAGACACUUGUCCCUGAGCUGAGUAGUGGCAACAACGAGAAGUGUUAAAGCAGCAGUGGACGGGGUAUACCAAAGGUGCUAACGGGAGGUGGGUCGGUGUUGUCAAGGGCGAAACUGAUUGAUGGGGGAGACAUGGUUUAUUGGGCAGGAUUUUUGUAUUGAAUAAUAGGCUGCCGAUAGUUUUGUAAGAGGGGCAAAGGUAACAUAUUGGGCUUCUACGUGUAGUGAGCUGCUGGUAUAUAAUGGUUUGCUUGCUGUAAAUGUAAUUAGGGCACGGCGGGUGUAGUGAAGGGAUACAAUAGGUUUGUUUGGGAUGAUAUUUUGGGAUAAGGCUGGUGAUGUUGGGGUAAAAACGAAUACAGG